GCAUGUCAUUAGUUAAUGUAAAAUCAAAAGCCAAUAACCAAUAAAUUCAGCAACUCAAAUAACACUUGACCUACAUGUGAUAUUUAGCAAACCAUCUUCACAAUGCCUCCCAUUCACCAAGAUUGCUAUACGCAAUAACAGAGGCAAGGGCCAGGCUUUUGUUUUGUAUGUCUGUUCCAUUGUGGAGAUUUAGCUCAGUUGGAGGGUGAAUUGGUCUGAUGAGCACACUAAAUAAAUAACGGACCAUUACUUUGCUACUUUGGAUAUAUUAAGUCAGAAACUGACAUCUCAAAUGUAAUAUUCUGGCAGUGUUUCCUUGAAGGGGCCUGAAGAAACACUGAAUCAGCCUGAGAGUGUCCAUGAAGCGUGUUCACAGCAUCUUAUGAACUUUGGACCCACGAUCGGCCAGGAGCGCACAUAAUUGAGGAAGGUUCUGCUGAAGAAGAGCACAAUGGAGAGUUCUACAACCUUGAUCUACUCAUUUCUACUGCUGAACAACCUGCCAUUGUUUUUUACCACAACAGUUCAAGUUCCUUUAACAGGCUUUUCAUUCACUAUUUAUAACCAAGAUCCAAUGGGUACCUUUUAUCCUUCCUUAGACUCCAAUAGUACUACCAAUGUCACAGUUGCAGAUUGUCUAAUUGACAACAAGAUGGCAAUGGUAGCUAUUGGCUCAGCUGUGGGGGUAAUCCUUUGUCUGCUAGUCUCUACCCUGGUACUGGCAUGUCAAGUACGCUGCCUACAGAAACGGAUAGGUGCCCUUCGGCCUUCACACAGCAAAAUGGACUUGGUGAGCAGUUCAGACUACUGGGGUUCUAGCCCACCUGAAGCAGGAGGGCUGGAGGGGCCAUGUGAUGCUAGCAUAGUGCUUGAAGAGAUGAGGCCAUUCAUCGAGAUUGAUACUACAGAGGACAAGGUGAACACACAACGGGAGAAAGAGCUUGAGCAAGGUGGAAAAAGGGCAGCAUGUGACCCUGAAGUGGCCGAGCAAAUGCAGAUAUCCAGCAUGAGUGAUGCACGUCGGGAUUCCAAGGAUCUAGAGAACACACCUUUGGUAGUUUAAAUGGGUUGUGUAGAUCAACAUUGAAAAUGCUUAACCACACAAACCAAGAUAAGAUUGCAACUGCUUAUGAAAUCAUGACCUUGAUCUUAAUUUAAAAAAGUAUGCGUUUCUCUCAGCCUCCUUCCCUUACAUGGCUAAGCCACUACUCUGGCAGCUAAUUUUAGCUUACUCAAUGUUAAAGUUUACUACCUUUUUUCAGUAUAGAAACAUUCAAAUUAUACAGAAAUAUAACUCUUUACAUAGAAAUCCAUGUAAAACCAAUUGUGACGACUAAUGCAAACUAAUUCAUUUGUGGAUUUGCUUAUAUUCCAUAGAGCAGUGGUUCUCAAACUUAUUCUUUAAAAAAAAAUAGAUAUAUAUUUAUUAAUAUAUAUAUUAUAUACAUUAUUAAAUAUAUCGGAAUAGUAUAUUCCGAUAUAUUUUUUAAGCCCUGUACCCCCUUCACCAGCACAAAACAUUUUUGGGAGAAUUUUUUUACAUUAAAAGUGCACAAUUUAGUGAGAACAUGCAACUUGCUUCAUCCAACUGUUGGCUAAUUUCUCCCCACAAAAGAAGCACAUCUCCAGGGUAGGGUCAGAGCAUGUAGAGGGGAAUCCCAUUGAAAUAUAUUCUUCCUGAAAUUGACAUGUUGGUGUUUCUGGAUGUGUGACCAACACAACAUUGGAUACAGUCAAGAUAUAAACUGCUCUUUCCUGUAGGCCAGGACUACGUGUUAUGAUGAAAUGAGAUGAAUUUAUAUUAUAAAAUCUUUAUUCAAUUAUGGAAUUGAAAAUAAAAUGAGUUCUAUGUGCCUACUUAGUUUACAGGUCCUGGCUCAUUGUCAAGUGGAAUUGUGAUUGUUUUGAACAUAGCAAAAUGUUGGUAUUCAUCUGCAAUUCUUUUGAAAUAAAAAGUCUUUACAUAACUUUUAA
Gadus morhua (Atlantic cod) is the source of this 1974-nucleotide long non-coding RNA. RefSeq lists it as uncharacterized. The transcript is spliced from 3 exons. NCBI's taxonomy places the organism in Eukaryota, Metazoa, Chordata, Actinopteri, Gadiformes, Gadidae. The record is from RefSeq and is a predicted model, not a curated record.